CUACCUUCGAAUUUGGGAUAACCUCGCGAAAGCGGAGCUAAUACCGGAUAAUAUCAAGUAAACUUCGGUUUAUUUGAUCAAAGGUGGCCUCUACAUGUAAGCUACUGUUUGAAGAUGAGCCCGCGUACCAUUAGCUUGUUGGUAUGGGUAAUGGCCUACCAAGGCGACGAUGGUUAGCUGGUCUGAGAGGAUGAUCAGCCACACUGGAACUGACACACGGUCCAG
Molecule: ribosomal RNA, 225 nt
Filed under: uncultured bacterium
Lineage: Bacteria
Description: partial 16S ribosomal RNA
Rfam family: Bacterial small subunit ribosomal RNA
Source: RNAcentral